UACGGAGGGUGCGAGCGUUGUCCGGAAUCAUUGGGCGUAAAGGGCGCGUAGGUGGCCCCUCAAGCGUGCGGUGAAAGUCAGGGGCUCAACCCCUGAUCGGCCGUGCGAACUGGGGAGCUUGAGCACUGUAGAGGCAGGCGGAAUUCCGGGUGUAGCGGUGGAAUGCGUAGAGAUCCGGAAGAACACCGGUGGCGAAGGCGGCCUGCUGGGCAGUUUUGCUGACACUGAGGCGCGACAGCGUGGGGAGCAAACAGG
RNAcentral lists this ribosomal RNA (255 nucleotides) under uncultured bacterium. RNAcentral describes it as "partial 16S ribosomal RNA". It matches the Rfam family "Bacterial small subunit ribosomal RNA", at positions 524 to 776 of the family's 1533-position model. The record is from RNAcentral.